Ailuropoda melanoleuca (giant panda) is the source of this 636-nucleotide long non-coding RNA. RefSeq lists it as uncharacterized. The record is from RefSeq and is a predicted model, not a curated record. The transcript is spliced from 4 exons. Lineage: Eukaryota; Metazoa; Chordata; Mammalia; Carnivora; Ursidae.
GUGUGACCAGGAUUCAGGAAUGCCCGGGAGCCACUGUGGAGACUGCCCAGCACAUGGGCACAGGCAAGGCCCGGGGACCUGAGCUUCAACCUAAUGGGAGCCCCUGGAAGUCUGUGUCAUGAGAGGACAAGAGCCAGCCCCCUGCCCAGCUCAUUUUGUUGGAGAUCCUUGAAGGAAGAACAUGUUUGCGUGUUGCAUCCCCAAGUCCGGAGGCUGCAGGCUGAGGAAAGCGCACCCUGCAAACACUUCCCCUCGCUGGGGAUGUCGUGCCAGGGCUCCCCGACGCCUCUGGCCAUUUGGCAGGAAGGACCAAAAGGCCACAGAUGAGAUUGGGAAGAGGCUGGCAGACAACUGCCCCAUGUCCCUGGCAGAGGGAGUCCCCUCACAGUGGUCUCCAGAAGCAGGGACUGGGGACUGCCCGGGAUGGCCUUUAACUGCCCAGGCCACUGUCCCUGGUGGUCCCUCAUCUCACUGCGGUCCAAGAGCCGGUGCCCACGGAGGCCGAGCCUGAGGCUGCUCCACCAUCUGAGGAUCUAAAGCCGGCUCCAAGUUCAUGGGCAGGGGUGGUGCCUGCAGCGACUUCAGCAGGAGACCAGGAGCCAACAGGUGACCUGGCACCUGCCCACGGAGAGCCUG